RNAcentral lists this ribosomal RNA (305 nucleotides) under uncultured bacterium. RNAcentral's name for it is "bacterial SSU rRNA". It matches the Rfam family "Bacterial small subunit ribosomal RNA", at positions 337 to 640 of the family's 1533-position model. The record is from RNAcentral.
GUCUACGGGGGGCAGCAGUGAGGAAUAUUGGUCAAUGGCCGGGAGGCUGAACCAGCCAAGUCGCGUGAGGGAAGACGGCCCUACGGGUUGUAAACCUCUUUUGUCAGGGAGCAAGGUGCAGGUCGGGACCUGCUGUGAGAGUACCUGAAGAAAAAGCAUCGGCUAACUCCGUGCCAGCAGCCGCGGUAAUACGGAGGAUGCGAGCGUUAUCCGGAUUUAUUGGGUUUAAAGGGUGCGCAGGCGGAUUUUUAAGUCAGCGGUCACAUCGUGGGGCUCAACCCCAUCCAGCCGUUGAAACUGGGGAU